Molecule: ribosomal RNA, 253 nt
Filed under: uncultured bacterium
Lineage: Bacteria
Description: partial 16S ribosomal RNA
Rfam family: Bacterial small subunit ribosomal RNA
Source: RNAcentral
UACGGAGGGUGCAAGCGUUGUCCGGAUUUAUUGGGUUUAAAGGGUGCGUAGGCGGCCCGUUAAGUCAGUGGUGAAAUCCCAGGGCUCAACCCUGGAACUGCCAUUGAUACUGAUGGGCUUGAGUAAAGUUGAGGUAGGCGGAAUUGACGGUGUAGCGGUGAAAUGCUUAGAUAUCGUCAAGAACACCUAUUGCGAAGGCAGCUUACCAAGCUUUAACUGACGCUGAUGCACGAAAGUGUGGGGAUCAAACAGG